This 460-nucleotide ribosomal RNA is filed under the name uncultured bacterium. RNAcentral's name for it is "partial 16S ribosomal RNA". It matches the Rfam family "Bacterial small subunit ribosomal RNA", at positions 338 to 795 of the family's 1533-position model. The record is from RNAcentral.
CCUACGGGAGGCAGCAGUGAGGAAUAUUGGUCAAUGGACGAGAGUCUGAACCAGCAAAGUAGCGUGAAGGAUGACUGCCCUAUGGGUUGUAAACUUCUUUUAUAUGGGAAUAAAAUGUUCCACGUGUGGGAUUUUGUAUGUACCAUAUGAAUAAGGAUCGGCUAACUCCGUGCCAGCAGCCGCGGUAAUACGGAGGAUCCGAGCGUUAUCCGGAUUUAUUGGGUUUAAAGGGAGCGUAGGUGGAUUGUUAAGUCAGUUGUGAAAGUUUGCGGCUCAACCGUAAAAUUGCAGUUGAAACUGGCAGUCUUGAGUACAGUAGAGGUGGGCGGAAUUCGUGGUGUAGCGGUGAAAUGCUUAGAUAUCACGAAGAACUCCGAUUGCGAAGGCAGUUCACUGGACUGCAACUGACACUGAGGCUCGAAAGUGUGGGUAUCAAACAGGAUUAGAUACCCCUGUAGUC